RNAcentral lists this unclassified non-coding RNA (336 nucleotides) under soil metagenome. Its description in RNAcentral is "partial contains 5.8S ribosomal RNA, internal transcribed spacer 2, and large subunit ribosomal RNA". The stretch from base 1 to 120 matches the Rfam family "5.8S ribosomal RNA", at positions 35 to 154 of the family's 154-position model. The record is from RNAcentral.
GAUGAAGAACGUAGCGGAAUGCGAUAAGUAAUGUGAAUUGCAGAAUUCAGUGAAUCAUCGAAUCUUUGAACGCACAUUGCGCCCGCCAGUAUUCUGGCGGGCAUGCCUGUUCGAGCGUCAUUUCAACCAUCAAGCCCCCGGCUUGUGUUGGGGACCUGCGGCUGCCGCAGGCCCUGAAAAGCAGUGGCGGGCUCGCUGUCACACCGAGCGUAGUAGCAUACAUCUCGCUCUGGGCGUGCUGCGGGUUCCGGCCGUUAAACCACCUUCAUAACCCAAGGUUGACCUCGGAUCAGGUAGGAAGACCCGCUGAACUUAAGCAUAUCAAUAAGCGGAGGA